UACGUAGGUGACAAGCGUUGUCCGGAUUUACUGGGCGUAAAGAGCGCGCAGGCGGUCGUUCAAGUCGAGUGUGAAAGCCCCCGGCUCAACUGGGGAGGGUCAUUCGAUACUGAUCGACUCGAAGGCAGGAGAGGGAAGUGGAAUUCCCGGUGUAGCGGUGGAAUGCGCAGAUAUCAGGAGGAACACCGGUGGCGAAGGCGGGUCUCUGGGCAGUAACUGACGCUGAGGAGCGAAAGCGUGGGGAGCGAACAGG
This 253-nucleotide ribosomal RNA is filed under the name uncultured bacterium. RNAcentral describes it as "partial 16S ribosomal RNA". It matches the Rfam family "Bacterial small subunit ribosomal RNA", at positions 524 to 776 of the family's 1533-position model. The record is from RNAcentral.